This is a non-coding RNA of Streptococcus suis 05ZYH33, 67 nucleotides long. Lineage: Bacteria; Bacillati; Bacillota; Bacilli; Lactobacillales; Streptococcaceae. The record is from Rfam.
CAAUUAUCAUGAUGGUCAAAGCUCAUGGGAAUUGUAGGCUUUUUUGUCCUGCAGUUUUCGAGAGUUU